RNAcentral lists this ribosomal RNA (441 nucleotides) under uncultured bacterium. Its description in RNAcentral is "bacterial SSU rRNA". It matches the Rfam family "Bacterial small subunit ribosomal RNA", at positions 34 to 470 of the family's 1533-position model. The record is from RNAcentral.
GAAUUCACUAGUGAUUCAGGCCUAACACAUGCAAGUCGAACGGCAGCACGGGUGCUUGCACCUGGUGGCGAGUGGCGAACGGGUGAGUAAUACAUCGGAACGUACCUUAUCGUGGGGGAUAACGCAGCGAAAGCUGUGCUAAUACCGCAUACGCCCUGAGGGGGAAAGCGGGGGAUCGCAAGGCCUCGCGCGAUUAGAGCGGCCGAUGCCUGAUUAGCUAGUUGGUGGGGUAAAAGCCCACCAAGGCGACGAUCAGUAGCUGGUCUGAGAGGACGAUCAGCCACACUGGGACUGAGACACGGCCCAGACUCCUACGGGAGGCAGCAGUGGGGAAUUUUGGACAAUGGGGGCAACCCUGAUCCAGAAAGGCCGCGUGAGUGAAGAAGGCCUUCGGGUGAAUUUAAAAGGGUCAGGGAAGAAACACCGGCUCUAACACAGUCC